CAGUAAAUGAAUAUUUAUUGUAAUUGACUCAUUCACCAAACAUGGUGCAAAGUUAUGGACCUCUCUCUUUCAUAUGCACAAGUUGUACAAGACAUAUCUUAUGUCCUUAAAGCCAGUGCCAGUCAACUUAAAGCAAUUGUCUAUCAAAACCUAAUAACUAUGGCUAGAAACUGCAGCACAAUUAUAACACGUGCAAUUUGGAAUUCUAGUUAUACAUGCAAAAGAGGAAAUGCUAAAACUUGAACAAAUUUUUGUGAACCUUCAACACCAAUCGACAUGUCAAUGAAACCCUGUUUGCCGUCCGAUGAAUAACCUUAUGAUCUCUACUUCCCCCUAUUUGAACAGCCUUCCCAGGUUCUAACAAUGGCUGGUCAAAUUUAUGACUUACCAGAGGUUCUGCAUCAUUUAUGGCCCCAUCAUAUUGAUGCACCUCGCUAUCUUUUAUACCAUGCAGGUAGUCUGAAUAGGCAUUAUCCUUGAAUAUCAGUAGACUACGAGGCAUCAGCAAGACAGAAAAGGGAUGGUGAUUAUCCAUCUUUUUAUCUGUCUCAAUCUCUAAAGGUUCUUCACCAGAUCCUUCACUUUUAACAUCAUUGUCCCCUGAAUCUGUGCAUGUUCUUAACCUUGAAUGCGGAAUAAAGUCCAUGACAGUAGGCGAUCCAAGAGAGAGAAUAGCAACUACAGGAAAAUAAGCAGGCCCAUCCUGGUGUGGCAUUAUUCCCUGGUCAGGAAGGUACUCAUUGAUGAGAACAUGAUUGAUUGCUGAGGGGAACAACCCUGAUUCUUCAUAUAUUCUUUGCGUAAUCUUUGUUAGCCAAGGAGGCAAGUCCUGUGGUAGAAGACCCUUCUCAUGGACAACACCACCCCAAUUCUGAAGCCUCCUAUUCUUCAAAGAUUUCCACUUUGAUACAGGAGCGCCAUAUACC
Molecule: unclassified non-coding RNA, 926 nt
Filed under: Hevea brasiliensis (rubber tree)
Lineage: Eukaryota; Viridiplantae; Streptophyta; Magnoliopsida; Malpighiales; Euphorbiaceae
Source: RNAcentral